This 265-nucleotide ribosomal RNA is filed under the name uncultured archaeon. Its description in RNAcentral is "partial 16S ribosomal RNA". It matches the Rfam family "Archaeal small subunit ribosomal RNA", at positions 717 to 982 of the family's 1478-position model. The record is from RNAcentral.
AGACGUCUACAUUAGAUACCCCGGUAGUCCUAACCGUAAACGAUACUCGCUAGGUGUCGGCCACGGUGCGACCGUUGUCGGUGCCGUAGGGAAGCCGUGAAGCGAGCCACCUGGGAAGUACGGCCGCAAGGCUGAAACUUAAAGGAAUUGGCGGGGGAGCACAACAACGGGUGGAGCUUGCGGUUUAAUUGGAUUCAACGCCGGAAAUCUUACCGGGACCGACAGCAACAUGAAGGCCAAGCUGAAGACUUUGCCGGAUUAGCUG